UACGUAGGGGGCAAGCGUUGUCCGGAUUUAUUGGGCGUAAAGAGCGUGUAGGCGGCCAGGUAGGUCCGUUGUGAAAACUCGAGGCUCAACCUCGAGACGCCGAUGGAAACCAUCUGGCUAGAGUCCGGAAGAGGAGAGUGGAAUUCCCGGUGUAGCGGUGGAAUGCGCAGAUAUCAGGAGGAACACCAAUGGCGAAGGCAGAUCUCUGGGCCGUAACUGACGCUGAGGAGCGAAAGCAUGGGGAGCGAACAGG
RNAcentral lists this ribosomal RNA (253 nucleotides) under uncultured bacterium. RNAcentral describes it as "partial 16S ribosomal RNA". It matches the Rfam family "Bacterial small subunit ribosomal RNA", at positions 524 to 776 of the family's 1533-position model. The record is from RNAcentral.